RNAcentral lists this ribosomal RNA (449 nucleotides) under uncultured organism. RNAcentral's name for it is "partial 16S ribosomal RNA". It matches the Rfam family "Bacterial small subunit ribosomal RNA", at positions 332 to 797 of the family's 1533-position model. The record is from RNAcentral.
UACACUCCUACGGGAGGCAGCAGUGGGGAAUAUUGGACAAUGGGCGCAAGCCUGAUCCAGCCAUGCCGCGUGAGUGAUGAAGGCCCUAGGGUUGUAAAGCUCUUUCACCGGUGAAGAUAAUGACGGUAACCGGAGAAGAAGCCCCGGCUAACUUCGUGCCAGCAGCCGCGGUAAUACGAAGGGGGCUAGCGUUGUUCGGAUUUACUGGGCGUAAAGCGCACGUAGGCGGACUAUUAAGUCAGGGGUGAAAUCCCGGGGCUCAACCCCGGAACUGCCUUUGAUACUGGUAGUCUUGAGUUCGAGAGAGGUGAGUGGAAUUCCGAGUGUAGAGGUGAAAUUCGUAGAUAUUCGGAGGAACACCAGUGGCGAAGGCGGCUCACUGGCUCGAUACUGACGCUGAGGUGCGAAAGCGUGGGGAGCAAACAGGAUUAGAUACCCCGGUAGUCCCA